GAUGGAGUAACCAAGAGCCCAGAAAAGCGCUCUUCUCUCCCAAGACCUUCCUCCAUUCUUCCUCCUCGGAGAGGUGUGUCAGGAGACAGAGAUGAGAAUUCCUUCUCUCUCAACAGUUCUAUCUCUUCUUCAGCACGGCGGACCACCAGGUCAGAGCCAAUUCGCAGAGCAGGGAAGAGUGGUACCUCAACACCCACUACCCCUGGGUCUACUGCCAUCACUCCUGGCACCCCACCAAGUUAUUCUUCACGCACACCAGGCACUCCUGGAACCCCUAGCUAUCCCAGGACCCCUCACACACCAGGAACCCCCAAGUCUGCCAUCUUGGUGCCGAGUGAGAAGAAGGUCGCCAUCAUACGUACUCCUCCAAAAUCUCCUGCGACUCCCAAGCAGCUUCGGCUUAUUAACCAACCACUGCCAGACCUGAAGAAUGUCAAAUCCAAAAUCGGAUCAACAGACAACAUCAAAUACCAGCCUAAAGGGGGGCAGGUAAGAAUUGCAUGAACACAUAUUUGCUGCCAGAAAUAGUUAUUACAUUGCCUUCUUCAUAUUGAAAGCUAGCAGUUCUUUAAAGGGAAGCAGAUGUGUUAAAGAGCUACUGGUUACAAUUUAUUGCUAAGAGUUUGGACUUUACAUUAGGAAGAUAGCCUCUGAAAUGUAAUGAAAAUCACAUGACAUGCCCAUUCCUUCUGUUUAUUAUUGGGUAAAAAUUUUUACCAACUUUUAGUUGAUUGACUUUUUUUUUUCUGAAUGUAUCUCCAUUGCUUUGUGUUUUUUAACUUGAGAUUAAAGUUAUAUUUCUGAUAUAAAA
This 811-nucleotide small RNA is filed under the name Pongo abelii (Sumatran orangutan). Its description in RNAcentral is "retained intron". Lineage: Eukaryota; Metazoa; Chordata; Mammalia; Primates; Hominidae. The record is from RNAcentral.